AAUGAAGGCUGUGAGGCAGAGCCGAGCCGUAAUAUCCAUAAGGCGACGAAGGGAUGACGCCAUGGCGUCCCACAGAUGAGUAAUGGAGGCCGGCAGGAGAAAGCCCGGUGUAUGGAAGGACGGAGGCGUCCCGACGGUGACGUCUAGUACUAUAUCCCUGCAGAAGACCGUACUGAGAAGAAGGGCGUUGAUAAGAUAUCUGAUGGCGCUGCUGUGGGAAGGCGUUCACGCCACGAAGGAAGUUGAGUGUUCCUGUUGGAGCCUUCAACAGUAGGCCUAACCUGGAGAAAGGGAAUUUGAAGACACAACGCCCAUCUAGACGAAAUCCAAAUUGAGUGCAAAGCAAGAAUUUUUCUUAUAACACGACAAAGGCACAGUUUCAAUAGAAACCCAUAAUUAACUAUCAAGAAACACAUAGCAAAGAUAUAAGUCGUGUAUGAAAGAAAACUGACUCACUAUAGGGUCACAAAACAAGUCGGAUCAAGCCGGGACUACCCUCUGGGAUAAUCUCAAAAAUAUUGUUGUGGUCACUUGGAUAGGAUUAUAGGAUAUCAAGUACUUUGUUUUUUCUCAUCCUUUUGACUUCCUUGAAGGUCAUUCGCGGAUUGUUGAUACUCUUG
Molecule: long non-coding RNA, 620 nt
Organism: Macrobrachium nipponense
Lineage: Eukaryota; Metazoa; Arthropoda; Malacostraca; Decapoda; Palaemonidae
Exons: 3
Source: RefSeq, a predicted model, not a curated record